Molecule: transfer RNA, 74 nt
Filed under: Gadopsis marmoratus
Lineage: Eukaryota; Metazoa; Chordata; Actinopteri; Centrarchiformes; Percichthyidae
Description: tRNA-Leu
Rfam family: tRNA
About the family: Transfer RNA (tRNA) molecules are approximately 80 nucleotides in length. Their secondary structure includes four short double-helical elements and three loops (D, anti-codon, and T loops). Further hydrogen bonds mediate the characteristic L-shaped molecular structure. tRNAs have two regions of fundamental functional importance: the anti-codon, which is responsible for specific mRNA codon recognition, and the 3' end, to which the tRNAs corresponding amino acid is attached (by aminoacyl-tRNA synthetases). tRNAs cope with the degeneracy of the genetic code in two manners: having more than one tRNA (with a specific anti-codon) for a particular amino acid; and 'wobble' base-pairing, i.e. permitting non-standard base-pairing at the 3rd anti-codon position.
Source: RNAcentral
GUUAAGGUGGCAGAGCCCGGUAAUUGCAAAAGACCUAAACCCUUUCUACAGAGGUUCAAAUCCUCUCCUUAUCU